GAAUAAUAUACACAACAGUAUUCAGAGCUCUUGAUUAAAGGCUGGAAACUUUUUCUUAGGCAAUUGCAUUUCUAAGAUAACAUAUACCCAGGAUUGAAACUUUCUGGAUCUCAUUUCUCCUUUUCUUUCUCCUUCCUAGAAUUAUUUUUAUAUCAGGUUCUUAAAUUUCUUUGUUAAUUCUUUGGGAUCACAAGCAAGGAAAACAUUGUGCAAAACAGAUGGCUAUAAAUAGAAAAGUGAGGUUUGGGUCCUAAUUAUUGCUGUUUUUUAAAAUAAGAAUCACAUUAAGCCAAAUAUGCUUGAAUUGAAACUGAGAAAAUAGUUUGUGCCACCAAAAGAAGAAGAAAAAGAAAGUGGAGGGUGUUUGCAGCAAACAUUUGCCUACUCCAACUUCUUAAUGCUUAGAACAGGAUCAAUUUAGAUCCUUAGAGAUCAUCCUUACACUGAUCAAUCAAUGUGACUGAGUUUUCUUUUUUGUAUG
Molecule: long non-coding RNA, 481 nt
Filed under: Bos taurus (domestic cattle)
Lineage: Eukaryota; Metazoa; Chordata; Mammalia; Artiodactyla; Bovidae
Description: long non-coding RNA NONBTAT001746
Source: RNAcentral